UUGCUUGGCUCUAUUUCACCUCAUAGCGGUGUCAUAAGGAAGGAGGAUGCGGGCAGUUCUAGUUCUAUUUCACCGCAUUAACACUUGCUCAGUCCGUGCAAAAUUAUUACCUCAGAUUUGCUCUCCAAGGUCGGUGUUUUUGAAAGUGACAACCUGCUGACUACCUGCUGCUUCAAAGGACCGAAAUGACUGGAAAGAGAACACUCUUUCUUUACCAUACAUUUGUCUUUAUAUAAGCGAAGUACUAUGAAGACACCACUGAUCUUGAGAAGAGGUGCAACAUUCAGAGAAAUUCACAAUUCAGGGCAAUUAUAUCUACCUACGGGGGAAGGAUGGCCAGCCACACAGGAGAGUGAUUUUUACUAAGGAGGAGAAGGAGGCCGUGCUGACCGAGAUGCAUGCUGGCCAUAACUACAUACAGUAUCUCCCAUUUCUAACACUGCACUAAUGCAUUACAUUUUGUUCCUGUUCUCCAGGAGCUAGGGGUUCUGCCCAACACCCAGACGUGGAUCCACCUGAUGUCCUCCAUUAGCAACCGCCCUCCAACUUUUCAUAUCAUCAUCUACAGCUAUUGUUGUUGUCAAUAUCUGCUAAGAAUGUUUUUUUGCUCUGUCAUACUGGGCACAUAAUAUGUGAGAUACACAGAUUAACUAAAAACACUAGCUCUGCAAACACCCUGGACUUUGCAGUCUCCCUCUUCAAGUACCCCUUCUGAGACUGGCUGCCUGUUAAGAACAAGUGAUAGGCAGAACCUCCCACCCACAAAGCACCCACCUCCUCUAUAUUCCACACGCCAGAAUUCAGUAUUUUAGUCUAUGAUUGCCAUGUGGGUGUACAACAAAUCUGUGAAAAUAAAUGAAUGACA
Non-coding RNA from Salmo salar (Atlantic salmon), 865 nucleotides. The record is from RefSeq and is a predicted model, not a curated record. Lineage: Eukaryota; Metazoa; Chordata; Actinopteri; Salmoniformes; Salmonidae.